GAUAGGUAGAGAGACGAUCAGGACAUUG
Molecule: ribosomal RNA, 28 nt
Filed under: Brassica oleracea var. gemmifera (Brussels sprouts)
Lineage: Eukaryota; Viridiplantae; Streptophyta; Magnoliopsida; Brassicales; Brassicaceae
Description: partial small subunit ribosomal RNA
Source: RNAcentral